Etheostoma cragini (Arkansas darter) is the source of this 433-nucleotide long non-coding RNA. RefSeq lists it as uncharacterized. NCBI's taxonomy places the organism in Eukaryota, Metazoa, Chordata, Actinopteri, Perciformes, Percidae. The transcript has 3 exons. The record is from RefSeq and is a predicted model, not a curated record.
GACGUUGAUCUGAAAACCUGGGAAGAAGCUCGAGAAGACUGCAGAGCACGGAGUUCAGAUUUGGUUGUUGUACAUGAUGAAGAUGAAGAGGAUGCAUUCAGUCAUUACAGCAGGUACAGAUCCUGGGUUGGUCUGAGAGCUGAAGGAGGGAGAUGGAAGUGGAUCGAUGGAAGUGAUCUGACUGAAAGUGUCAGCAUAUGGUUAGAAGGCCAUCCUCCUACUCACGGUCAGUGUGUAGUUUAUUACCCGUUCGGAUGGAAAUCAGAGAGCUGUGCUGAGAGAAGACCAUGGAUCUGCCAGAAGAAGCCUUUAUCUGUUUAACCCCUGCAGUCAGACUUGAGGAGGUUACUGGAUGCUCUGCAUGAUAAUAUCAACUGGCUUCAUAAAUAUCUAACUAUGAAAAUCUGUACUUCAUAAUUUAAAUGGUUUGCUU